This is an RNA transcript of Neltuma alba, 2483 nucleotides long. It is a transcript of the gene named UDP-glucose iridoid glucosyltransferase-like, with no coding region annotated. The record is from RefSeq and is a predicted model, not a curated record. Lineage: Eukaryota; Viridiplantae; Streptophyta; Magnoliopsida; Fabales; Fabaceae. The transcript has 3 exons.
UGCAUUUGCAAUAGGAAUGAGAUUUAUAAUGGCUGGGACAAGAAGCGUCUUUAAUAUGGUCAUUUACAGAAAGGCCUAAGCGAGCGUUGCAGUUGCAGAUGGAAAAGCACAGAGCAGGGAAUAGACGACGGCGCUUGGUGGUGGUACCAGCUCCUUUUCAAGGCCACUUAACCCCAAUGCUUCAACUGGCUUCCAUCCUUCAUUCUAAUGGCUUCUCCAUAACCAUAGCUCACACCCGCUUCAAUUCUCCAGAUCCUUCCAAUCAUCCCCACUUCUCCUUCCUCCCUUUCUCUGAUGGUUUAUCUCAUUCUGAUUCCAUCUCCUCCCAUAAUCUUACCGCCAUCACUGAUACUCUUUCCGCCAACUGCGCUUCUCCUUUUAGAGACUUACUGCUCCGCUUGACCACACAAAACAUCGCCUGCAUCGUCCAUGAUGGUUUGAUGUACUUCGUUGAUUCCGUGGCUCAACAACUCAACCUCCCUACAAUACUCCUUCGAACCACUUGUGCUACCAAUGUACUGGCCUAUCAUUCUCUGCAUCGCCUACUCAGUGAAGGUUGCCUUCCUCUGCAAGCGAAUGAAACAUGUCGGCAUGCAGAUGAAAGGGUGGUGCCAGGACUGGAGCCGUUGAGGUUCAAAGAUCUACCUACUUUCAUUUCGACAAAUUCUGAUGUGCUGCAGUAUCAAUUGAAUAAAGUACAACAUGGCAUAAAAUCAUCGUUAGGUGUCAUAUUUAACACAGUGGACUGCCUUGAAGGGCACAGGGUGGAUGAGCUGAGGCAAAUAUACCAAGUCCCUAUAUUCCCGAUAGGCGCGUUUCACGGCAUGGCUCCAGAUUCAAGCUCUAGCUUUCUAGAACAGGAUCAUAGCUGCAUAGCUUGGCUGCACGAGCAAGCCCCAAGAUCAGUGUUGUACGUGAGUCUGGGAAGCAUCAUAACAUGGGAGGAAAAAGAGCUGACAGAGAUGGUUUACGGGUUACUGAGUAGCAAGCAGAAAUUCCUGUGGGUGGUUCGAGCGAGGGCCAUAGAUGUGACGGAGUGGGUAGAAUCAUUGGCUGAGGACGUGAGAAAAGCGAUAGGAGACAGAGGAUGCAUGGUGAGAUGGGCACCGCAAAAGGAGGUUCUGGCACACGAAGCCGUGGGAGGGUUUUGGAGUCACUGUGGGUGGAAUUCGACGUUGGAGAGUAUGUACGAAGGAAAGCCAAUGAUAUGCCAAGCUCAUUUUGGGGAUCAGAGGGUGAACUCGAGGCUGGCGAGCCAUGUGUGGAAGGUGGGCGUAGAAUGGUCCGGCGACGUCAUGGAAAGGGGGGACGUGGAAAAAGCUGUGACGAAACUAAUGGUGGAUCCGCAGGGGAAGCAGAUGUGGCAGAGAGCACAACAACUGAAGCGUCAGCUUAGGCAAGCCGUGACCCAAGGCGGCUCUUCCCGUAACACUUUAAUUCACUUGGUUGACCAUAUAUUGUCAUUCUCAUGAGAUAAAUGGCACCAUUUUGUCUUUGUUUGGUUUGAUUCCCGGCCGGUACGUUACUUAUGAAAUCACACACCACACUAGACUGUGGAUCCACCGAUAUGUCUACUGUUUUGUGCUGGGUUUGAAAAUGCCGUCUGUUUAUACUCUUCACCUUCGAGUCCUUCUCCUACCUUCAGAGCUCUCUUUGUUGGUCGCCAAGGCUAGCAGUGGCAUGUUAUUUACAGGGUUCAGAUUGGCCGAGCAUCAUCGGAGAAUGGGGUUCUUUUCUUCACUACAGCUGCUGCGAAGAAGCAUGUCAAGAAACAUGAUGUUAAAGUAGUUGAAUUAUGUACUUGAUUAUUCCGUCACCUAUCUACCACUCUCUUUCAAAAUAAUCGCCAGAGGUCCUGUUCUCUGUAUCUAUAGUUUCUUCUAGAAAAGUAAGUUGAGAACAGAGCUUGCCCGACUUCUAUGAAGCAGCGAUCAAACAAACAAUUGGUACGUAUUCCGGAACCGGUAAUGCCGUUGCCAACGGCUGACAGAUCAACGUUCCACGUGUCUAGGCAUUAGACGGACAAGGAUGACUUGAAAGUAAAUAAAAUGGAGCACGUAACGGGGUCCCACAAAAAAAAGAGUUCUUCAGACUAUCCGAACUUCUCUGCAGGGCAGGUCAAGUCCUGCUUGGAACAGCGGGUUCUCACCGUCACCAUUCCCAAAAUGCAGCCCCGGCUGCAUGAGUUCUAGCGGCCAGUCCCUUGGAUUCAUUUCUCGUGCGACGUUGCUCGCGUUGCCCAUGUCAUGCAUGAAUCCCAUAGAAUAAUAAAUCGUCACAUUCAAACAGGCUUUCAUUGUUCGGCCAGGAAAAAAGGCUUUCACUGCAACUAGUAAUUUAGAUCAAUUUCUAUAUACAUAUUUAUAUGUAUAUUUAUAUAUAUGUUAUGUAGUUUAUAUAGUGUAUGAUUUGUACCUUUGUUCAACCUUGCUGGACCAAGGCGGUGGAUGUUAUAUAGAGUCGGGUAAUUUAUUACAUGUUAA